RNAcentral lists this long non-coding RNA (589 nucleotides) under Spirodela polyrhiza (greater duckweed). RNAcentral's name for it is "long non-coding RNA (SPOL_LNC000232)". The record is from RNAcentral. Lineage: Eukaryota; Viridiplantae; Streptophyta; Magnoliopsida; Alismatales; Araceae.
ACUGCAAAUACUAGUUUAGCACAUUAUUGCCGAGACAACGGCCUACUUCUUCACAUCCACCGUGCAAUGCAUGCAGUUAUUGAUAGACAGAAAAAUCAUGGUAUGCAUUUCCGUGUACUAGCUAAAGCAUUACGUAUGUCUGGUGGGGAUCAUAUUCACGCUGGUACAGUAGUAGGUAAACUGGAAGGUGAACGUGAGAUGACUUUAGGUUUUGUUGAUUUAUUACGUGAUGAUUAUAUUGAAAAAGACCGAAGUCGUGGUAUUUUCUUCACUCAAGAUUGGGUCUCUAUGCCAGGUGUUAUACCUGUGGCUUCAGGGGGUAUUCAUGUUUGGCAUAUGCCUGCCCUGACCGAGAUCUUUGGAGAUGAUUCCGUACUACAGUUUGGUGGCGGAACUUUAGGACACCCUUGGGGAAAUGCACCUGGUGCAGUAGCUAACCGUGUAGCUUUAGAAGCGUGUGUACAAGCUCGUAAUGAGGGACGUGAUCUUGCUCGUGAAGGUAAUGAAAUUAUCCGUGAAGCUUGCAAAUGGAGUCCUGAACUAGCCGCUGCUUGUGAAGUUUGGAAAGCGAUCAAAUUUGAGUUCGAAC